AAAAAGAUUAAUGACAUACCCCCAACUGCUCAUUGAUUAUAGGUAAUUUCAUGAUCAAAAGCUCAAUCCAUAUAUCACAACCAUCAGACCUUACAGGUUAGACGCCACAUUCUCAUUCUUUUGCCUCAGCCAACCAGUGCAUAUAAACAAUGAACAUAGUAAGUUCCUCCUCUACCUAAAGACUACUUUCAGUAAAAAAUAUGGAAUUCGUUGUAAUUCAAUUUUAGUAUUGACUGGUGAAGAAUUUUUUGUUUGAAAGGCAUGAUACUGUUCAUAAUGAAUAAAUGCCCAAAUGGUGAUGAUGAACUCUCGNNNNNNNNNGCCCGGUGAGAGAGGUGCUACCAUAUGCUUCUCUUUGAGCAUCAUUACAGCCUCAGAAAAUUUCAUCACACUGUAAGAGAUGCACCAUUAUCAGCUCCUGUUA
RNAcentral lists this unclassified non-coding RNA (424 nucleotides) under Hevea brasiliensis (rubber tree). The record is from RNAcentral. Lineage: Eukaryota; Viridiplantae; Streptophyta; Magnoliopsida; Malpighiales; Euphorbiaceae.